CAGUCGCCGCGGUAAUACGAGGGGGGCAAGCGUUGUUCGGAAUUAUUGGGCGUAAAGGGUGCGUAGGCGGUUCAGCAAGUCUCGUGUGAAAUCUUCGGGCUCAACCCGAAGCCUGCACGAGAAACUACCGGGCUUGAGUAUUGGAGAGGUGAGUGGAAUUUCCGGUGUAGCGGUGAAAUGCGUAGAUAUCGGAAGGAACACCUGUGGCGAAAGCGGCUCACUGGACAAUAACUGACGCUGAUGCACGAAAGCUAGGGGAGCAAACAGGAUUAGAUACCCCCGGUAGUCCCUGUCUCUUAUU
Molecule: ribosomal RNA, 301 nt
Filed under: uncultured bacterium
Lineage: Bacteria
Description: partial 16S ribosomal RNA
Rfam family: Bacterial small subunit ribosomal RNA
Source: RNAcentral